GACGAACGCUGGCGGCGUGCUUAACACAUGCAAGUCGAACGGAAAGGCCCUGCUUUUGUGGGGUGCUCGAGUGGCGAACGGGUGAGUAACACGUGAGUAACCUGCCCUUGACUUUGGGAUAACUUCAGGAAACUGGGGCUAAUACCGGAUAGGAGCUCCUGCUGCAUGGUGGGGGUUGGAAAGUUUCGGCGGUUGGGGAUGGACUCGCGGCUUAUCAGCUUGUUGGUGGGGUAGUGGCUUACCAAGGCUUUGACGGGUAGCCGGCCUGAGAGGGUGACCGGCCACAUUGGGACUGAGAUACGGCCCAGACUCCUACGGGAGGCAGCAGUGGGGAAUAUUGCACAAUGGGCGGAAGCCUGAUGCAGCAACGCCGCGCGCGGGAUGACGGCCUUCGGGUUGUAAACCGCUUUCGCCUGUGACGAAGCGUGAGUGACGGUAAUGGGUAAAGAAGCACCGGCUAACUACGUGCCAGCAGCCGCGGUGAUACGUAGGGUGCGAGCGUUGUCCGGAUUUAUUGGGCGUAAAGGGCUCGUAGGUGGUUGAUCGCGUCGGAAGUGUAAUCUUGGGGCUUAACCCUGAGCGUGCUUUCGAUACGGGUUGACUUGAGGAAGGUAGGGGAGAAUGGAAUUCCUGGUGGAGCGGUGGAAUGCGCAGAUAUCAGGAGGAACACCAGUGGCGAAGGCGGUUCUCUGGGCCUUUCCUGACGCUGAGGAGCGAAAGCGUGGGGAGCGAACAGGCUUAGAUACCCUGGUAGUCCACGCUGUAAACGGUGGGUACUAGGUGUGGGGUCCAUUCCACGGGUUCCGUGCCGUAGCUAACGCUUUAAGUACCCCGCCUGGGGAGUACGGCCGCAAGGCUAAAACUCAAAGGAAUUGACGGGGCCCCGCACAAGCGGCGGAGCAUGCGGAUUAAUUCGAUGCAACGCGUAGAACCUUACCUGGGUUUGACAUGGAUCGGGAGCGCUCAGAGAUGGGUGUGCCUCUUUUGGGGUCGGUUCACAGGUGGUGCAUGGCUGUCGUCAGCUCGUGUCGUGAGAUGUUGGGUUAAGUCCCGCAACGAGCGCAACCCUUGUUCACUGUUGCCAGCACGUUAUGGUGGGGACUCAGUGGAGACCGCCGGGGUCAACUCGGAGGAAGGUGGGGAUGACGUCAAGUCAUCAUGCCCCUUAUGUCCAGGGCUUCACGCAUGCUACAAUGGCUGGUACAGAGAGUGGCGAGCCUGUGAGGGUGAGCGAAUCUCGGAAAGCCGGUCUCAGUUCGGAUUGGGGUCUGCAACUCGACCUCAUGGAGUCGGAGUCGCUAGUAAUCGCAGAUCAGCAACGCUGCGGUGAAUACGUUCCCGGG
This 1343-nucleotide ribosomal RNA is filed under the name uncultured bacterium. RNAcentral's name for it is "16S ribosomal RNA". It matches the Rfam family "Bacterial small subunit ribosomal RNA", at positions 28 to 1378 of the family's 1533-position model. The record is from RNAcentral.